GGGCGAGUGGCGAAAUGGUAGACGCGCCAGCCUUAGGAGCUGGUGUCGGUAACGACGUGUGAGUUCGAGUCUCACCUCGCCCACCA
This 86-nucleotide transfer RNA is filed under the name Chloroflexota bacterium. RNAcentral's name for it is "Chloroflexi bacterium tRNA-Leu". It matches the Rfam family "tRNA". Rfam says of the family: Transfer RNA (tRNA) molecules are approximately 80 nucleotides in length. Their secondary structure includes four short double-helical elements and three loops (D, anti-codon, and T loops). Further hydrogen bonds mediate the characteristic L-shaped molecular structure. tRNAs have two regions of fundamental functional importance: the anti-codon, which is responsible for specific mRNA codon recognition, and the 3' end, to which the tRNAs corresponding amino acid is attached (by aminoacyl-tRNA synthetases). tRNAs cope with the degeneracy of the genetic code in two manners: having more than one tRNA (with a specific anti-codon) for a particular amino acid; and 'wobble' base-pairing, i.e. permitting non-standard base-pairing at the 3rd anti-codon position. Lineage: Bacteria; Bacillati; Chloroflexota. The record is from RNAcentral.